GGUACAGUUACCACAUAUUAUCAUGGCUGUAUCUAUAGCCAUAAAGGCUGCCAUGGGGCUCAGAGGUUGAAAGGCCCCACAUAGGUUCCAGAAUAUUCAGCAUUUUUAUUUCUGCUAUCUAGCACUACAUGGGAAAUUAAAUACCUGACGAUCUACAUACCUACAUGAGGAAUUACCCCUGCCUAACUACCUACCUACGGAUUUGUUGCUUUGCGCGAAUAUCAGCUGAUCUGAAUGGAUAAUAACACAACGCAGUAAUGAUGUGUUUUCCUUAUACAUAUGACAUUAAGGAUGCUGUCUGCUGGAAGAAAGUGUCAGGAGCUGUGUAGAGAAUCGCUCAGGAAUCGCUCCUGCUUACACAAUAAUAAAUUAAUUAUGG
This is a long non-coding RNA of Hyla sarda, 379 nucleotides long. RefSeq lists it as uncharacterized. The transcript is spliced from 3 exons. The record is from RefSeq and is a predicted model, not a curated record. NCBI's taxonomy places the organism in Eukaryota, Metazoa, Chordata, Amphibia, Anura, Hylidae.